AAGUCGUAACAAGGUUUCCGUAGGUGAACCUGCGGAAGGAUCAUUAUUGAGUUUUGAAAGGGGUUGUAGCUGGCCUUUUGGGGCAUGUGUGCACGCCUCGCUCAUCUCUAACACCUGUGAACUGGCUGUAGGUUGGUUUUGAAAUGGGUUCCCGUUUCUGCCUUCCUAUGUCUUUAACAAAUCCCUGUUGUAUCUGUACGUCUUUGCGCUUUUAAAACGCAUCAAUAUAACUUUCAGCAACGGAUCUCUUGGCUCUC
RNAcentral lists this unclassified non-coding RNA (257 nucleotides) under air metagenome. Its description in RNAcentral is "partial contains small subunit ribosomal RNA, internal transcribed spacer 1, and 5.8S ribosomal RNA". The stretch from base 1 to 46 matches the Rfam family "Eukaryotic small subunit ribosomal RNA", at positions 1786 to 1831 of the family's 1831-position model. The record is from RNAcentral.